Molecule: ribosomal RNA, 440 nt
Filed under: uncultured bacterium
Lineage: Bacteria
Description: partial 16S ribosomal RNA
Rfam family: Bacterial small subunit ribosomal RNA
Source: RNAcentral
CCUACGGGUGGCUGCAGUCGAGAAUCAUUCACAAUGGGGGAAACCCUGAUGGUGCGACGCCGCGUGAGUGAAGAAGUAUUUCGGUAUGUAAAGCUCUAUCAGCACGGAAGAAAAUGACAGUACCUGACCAUGUAGCCCCGGCUAACUACGUGCCAGCAGCCGCGGUAAGACGGAGGGGGCAAGCGUUAUCCGGAUGUACUGGGUGUAAAGGGAGCGUAGUGGGUUUUGUAAGUGCGUAGGGAAACGCCGGGGCGCAACACCGGAACUGCUUUGGAAACUGUGUAACUGGAGUGCAGGUGGGGCAGGCGGAAUGCCUGGUGUAGCGGUGAAAUGCGUAGAGAUCAGAAAGAACACCGGCGGCGAAGGCAGCCUACUGGGCUAAAACUGACGUUGAGGCUCGAAAGCGUGGGGAGCAAACAGGAUUAGAUACCCCUGUAGUC